Molecule: long non-coding RNA, 210 nt
Filed under: Gossypium raimondii (Peruvian cotton)
Lineage: Eukaryota; Viridiplantae; Streptophyta; Magnoliopsida; Malvales; Malvaceae
Description: long non-coding RNA (GRAI_LNC001438)
Source: RNAcentral
AGAAACUGAAAAAAAGAAAAAGAACAGUGAAGAAAAACGAAAAAGAAAAAAACGAAUAUACCUCUCAAAUCCCUUUUUUUUUUGUAUUCAAUCUCUCUAUGUAUUGAUAUUGUGUGUAGAGAAAAAAGAAACUUUUACAGAUUUGAAUGGCCUUUUUUAUAGCCAAAAAUGAAAAAUGAAAAUAAAAUACAAUCAAAAUCCUCUAUUUCC